UACGUAGGGGGCUAGCGUUGUCCGGAUUUAUUGGGCGUAAAGAGCGUGUAGGCGGCCAGGUAGGUCUGCUGUGAAAACUCGAGGCUCAACCUCGAGACGUCGGCGGAAACCAUCUGGCUAGAGUCCGGAAGAGGAGAGUGGAAUUCCUGGCGUAGCGGUGAAAUGCGCAGAUAUCAGGAAGAACACUCGUGGCGAAGGCGGCUCUCUGGGACGGUACUGACGCUGAGACGCGAAAGCGUGGGGAGCGAACAGG
RNAcentral lists this ribosomal RNA (253 nucleotides) under uncultured bacterium. RNAcentral's name for it is "partial 16S ribosomal RNA". It matches the Rfam family "Bacterial small subunit ribosomal RNA", at positions 524 to 776 of the family's 1533-position model. The record is from RNAcentral.